Molecule: ribosomal RNA, 431 nt
Filed under: uncultured bacterium
Lineage: Bacteria
Description: partial 16S ribosomal RNA
Rfam family: Bacterial small subunit ribosomal RNA
Source: RNAcentral
AACGAACGCUGGCGGCAGGCUUAACACAUGCAAGUCGAACGCCCCGCAAGGGGAGUGGCAGACGGGUGAGUAACACGUGGGAACAUGCCCAAAGGUACGGAAUAUUCUCGGGAAACUGAGAGCAAUACCGUAUGUGCCCGAAAGGGGAAAGAUUUAUCGCCUUUGGAUUGGCCCGCGUCGGAUUAGCUAGUUGGUGGGGUAAAAGCCUACCAAGGCGACGAUCCGUAGCUGGUCUGAGAGGACGACCAGCCACACUGGGACUGAGACACGGCCCAGAUUCCUACGGGAGGCAGCAGUGGGGAAUCUUGGACAAUGGGCGCAAGCCUGAUCCAGCCAUGCCGCGUGGAUGAUGAAGGCCCUAGGGUUGUAAAAUCCUUUCGUUGGGGACGAUAAUGACGGUACCCAAAGAAGAAGCUCCGGCUAACUUCGUG